This 255-nucleotide ribosomal RNA is filed under the name Salmonella enterica subsp. enterica serovar Cerro. RNAcentral describes it as "partial 23S ribosomal RNA". It matches the Rfam family "Bacterial large subunit ribosomal RNA", at positions 1434 to 1691 of the family's 2925-position model. The record is from RNAcentral. Lineage: Bacteria; Pseudomonadati; Pseudomonadota; Gammaproteobacteria; Enterobacterales; Enterobacteriaceae.
UAUUCCCGUACUUGGUGUUACUGCGAAGGGGGGACGGAGAAGGCUAUGUUGGCCGGGCGACGGUUGUCCCGGUUUAAGCGUGUAGGCUGGUUUUCCAGGCAAAUCCGGAAAAUCAAGGCUGAGGCGUAACGACGAGGCACUACGGUGCUGAAGCAACAAAUGCCCUGCUUCCAGGAAAAGCCUCUAAGCAUCAGGUAACAUCAAAUCGUACCCCAAACCGACACAGGUGGUCAGGUAGAGAAUACCAAGGCGCUU